This 449-nucleotide ribosomal RNA is filed under the name uncultured bacterium. RNAcentral's name for it is "partial 16S ribosomal RNA". It matches the Rfam family "Bacterial small subunit ribosomal RNA", at positions 29 to 523 of the family's 1533-position model. The record is from RNAcentral.
AGCGAACUCUGGCGGCAGGCCUAACACAUGCAAGUCGAACGAACUCUUCGGAGUUAGUGGCGGACGGGUGAGUAACACGUGGGAACGUGCCUUUCGGUUCGGAAUAACUCAGGGAAACUUGUGCCAAUACCGAAUGUGCCCUUCGGGGGAAAGAUUUAUCGCCUUUAGAGCGGCCCGCGUCUGAUUAGCUAGUUGGUGAGGUAAAGGCUCACCAAGGCGACGUUCAGUAGCUGGUCUGAGAGGAUGAUCAGCCACAUUGGGACUGGGACACGGCCCAAACUCCUACGGGAGGCAGCAGUGGGGAAUCUUGCGCAAUGGGCGAAAGCCUGACGCAGCCAUGCCGCGUGAAUGAUGAAGGUCUUAGGAUUGUAAAAUUCUUUCACCGGGGACGAUAAUGACGGUACCCGGAGAAGAAGUCCCGGCUAACUUCGUGCCAGCAGCCGCAGUAA